AAUGAACGCUGGCGGCAUGCCUAACACAUGCAAGUCGAACGAAGCCUUCGGGCUUAGUGGCGCACGGGUGCGUAACGCGUGGGAAUCUGCCCUUGGGUUCGGAAUAACAGUUAGAAAUGACUGCUAAUACCGAAUGAUGUCGUAAGACCAAAGAUUUAUCGCCCAGGGAUGAGCCCGCGUAGGAUUAGCUAGUUGGUGUGGUAAAGGCGCACCAAGGCGACGAUCCUUAGCUGGUCUGAGAGGAUGAUCAGCCACACUGGGACUGAGACACGGGCCCAGACUCCUACGGGAGGCAGCAGUGGGGAAUAUUGGACAAUGGGCGAAAGCCUGAUCCAGCAAUGCCGCGUGAGUGAUGAAGGCCUUAGGGUUGUAAAGCUCUUUUACCCGGGAUGAUAAUGACAGUACCGGGAGAAUAAGCUCCGGCUAACUCCGUGCCAGCAGCCGCGGUAAU
This 451-nucleotide ribosomal RNA is filed under the name uncultured bacterium. RNAcentral describes it as "bacterial SSU rRNA". It matches the Rfam family "Bacterial small subunit ribosomal RNA", at positions 29 to 524 of the family's 1533-position model. The record is from RNAcentral.